UGCAAGUCGCACGAGAAGGGACUUCGGUCCUGAGUACAGUGGCGCACGGGUGAGUAACACGUGAAUCAUCUACCUUCGAGUGGGGAAUAACUGAGAGAAAUCUUAGCUAAUACCGCAUAAUACCUACGGGUCAAAGCAGCAAUGCGCUUGAAGAGGAGUUCGCGGCAGAUUAGUUAGUUGGCGGGGUAAUGGCCCACCAAGACGAUGAUCUGUAUCCGGCCUGAGAGGGCGCACGGACACACUGGAACUGAAACACGGUCCAGACUCCUACGGGAGGCAGCAGUGGGGAAUUUUGCGCAAUGGGGGAAACCCUGACGCAGCAACGCCGCGUGGAGGAUGAAAUAUCUUGGUAUGUAAACUCCUUUCGAUGGGGAAGAUAAUGACGGUACCCAUAGAAGAAGCCCCGGCUAACUUCGUGCCAGCAGCCGCGGUAAUACGAGGGGGGCAAGCGUUGUUCGGAAUUAUUGGGCGUAAAGGGUGCGUAGGCGGUUUGACAAGUCUUAUGUGAAAUCUUCGGGCUCAACCCGAAGUCUGCAUGGGAAACUGUCGGGCUUGAGUAUGGGAGAGGUGAGUGGAAUUUCCGGUGUAGCGGUGAAAUGCGUAGAUAUCGGAAGGAACACCUGUGGCGAAAGCGGCUCACUGGACCAUAACUGACGCUGAUGCACGAAAGCUAGGGGAGCAAACAGGAUUAGAUACCCUGGUAGUCCUAGCCCUAAACGAUGAUUGUUUGAUGUGGGGGGUACCCAAUCCUCCCGUGUCGAAGCUAACGCGAUAAACAAUCCGCCUGGGGAGUACG
RNAcentral lists this ribosomal RNA (796 nucleotides) under uncultured Acidobacterium sp. RNAcentral's name for it is "bacterial SSU rRNA". It matches the Rfam family "Bacterial small subunit ribosomal RNA", at positions 56 to 884 of the family's 1533-position model. The record is from RNAcentral. Lineage: Bacteria; Pseudomonadati; Acidobacteriota; Terriglobia; Terriglobales; Acidobacteriaceae.